CCUACGGGAGGCUGCAGUGGGGAAUAUUGCGCAAUGGGCGAAAGCCUGACGCAGCGACGCCGCGUGAGGGAUGAAGGUCUUCGGAUCGUACACCUCUGUCAGCAGGGAAGAACGGUCACUGUGCUAAUCAGCAGUGAAUUGACGGUACCUGCAAAGGAAGCACCGGCUAACUCCGUGCCAGCAGCCGCGGUAAUACGGAGGGUGUGUGCGUUAAUCGGAAUUACUGGGCGUAAAGCGCUCGUAGGCGGUAGGUCAAGUCAAGGGUGAAAUCCCCGCGCUCAACGUGGGAACUGCCUUUGAAACUGGCAAACUGGAGUGUGUGAGAGGAUAGUGGAAUGCCAGGUGUAGGAGUGAAAUCCGUAGAUAUCUGGAGGAACAUCAGUGGCGAAGGCGACUAUCUGGCACAUAACUGACGCUGAGGAGCGAAAGCGUGGGUAGCAAACAGGAUUAGAUACCCCAGUAGUC
RNAcentral lists this ribosomal RNA (465 nucleotides) under uncultured bacterium. Its description in RNAcentral is "partial 16S ribosomal RNA". It matches the Rfam family "Bacterial small subunit ribosomal RNA", at positions 338 to 795 of the family's 1533-position model. The record is from RNAcentral.